RNAcentral lists this ribosomal RNA (253 nucleotides) under uncultured bacterium. RNAcentral describes it as "partial 16S ribosomal RNA". It matches the Rfam family "Bacterial small subunit ribosomal RNA", at positions 524 to 776 of the family's 1533-position model. The record is from RNAcentral.
GACGUAGGGGGCCAGCGUUGUUCGGAAUUACUGGGUGUAAAGGGUUCGUAGGCGGUGCGGCAAGUUGGGAGUGAAAUCUCUGGGCUUAACCCAGAGGCUGCUUCCAAAACUGCUGUGCUUGAGUGUGGGAGAGGCGCGUGGAAUUGCAGGUGUAGCGGUGAAAUGCGUUGAUAUCGGAAGGAACUCCGGCGGCGAAAGCGAUGCACUGGCUGAUUUCUGACGCUGAGGUGCGAAAGCCAGGGGAGCAAACGGG